CACCUACGGGAGGCAGCAGUGGGGAAUAUUGGACAAUGGGCGCAAGCCUGAUCCAGCAAUCCCGCGUGUGUGAAGAAGGCCUUCGGGUUGUAAAGCACUUUUGUUCGGGAAAAAAUCCGUGUGGUUAACACCCCUACGGGAUGACGGUACCGAAAGAAUAAGCACCCCCUAACUUCGUGCCAGCAGCCGCGGUAAUAAGAAGGGGGCAAGCGUUUAUCGUAAUUACUGGGGGUAAAGCGUGCGUAGGCGGUUUUUUAAGUCAGAUGUGAAAACCCCCGGCUCAACCUGGGAACUGCAUUUGAUACUGGCAGGCUAGAGUACGGUAGAGGGUAGUGGAAUUCCCGGUGUAGCGCGAAAUGCGUAGAGAUCGGGAGGAACAUCCGUGGCGAAGGCGGCCACCUGGACCAGUACUGACGCUGAGGCACGAAAGCGUGGGGAGCAAACAGGAUUAGAUACCCUGGUAGUCCCCGCCCUAAAAGAUGGGAAGUGGAGGUUGGGGUC
RNAcentral lists this ribosomal RNA (501 nucleotides) under uncultured bacterium. RNAcentral's name for it is "bacterial SSU rRNA". It matches the Rfam family "Bacterial small subunit ribosomal RNA", at positions 335 to 830 of the family's 1533-position model. The record is from RNAcentral.